AACGGCUUACCAAGGCGACGAUCUCUAGCUGUUCUGAGAGGAAGAUCAGCCACACUGGGACUGAGACACGGCCCAGACUCCUACGGGAGGCAGCAGUGGGGAAUAUUGCACAAUGGGGGAAACCCUGAUGCAGCCAUGCCGCGUGUGUGAAGAAGGCCUUCGGGUUGUAAAGCACUUUCAGUUGUGAGGAAAAGUUAGUAGUUAAUACCUGCUAGCCGUGACGUUAACAACAGAAGAAGCACCGGCUAACUCCGUGCCAGCAGCCGCGGUAAUACGGAGGGUGCGAGCGUUAAUCGGAAUUACUGGGCGUAAAGCGCACGCAGGCGGUUUGUUAAGCUAGAUGUGAAAGCCCCGGGCUCAACCUGGGAUGGUCAUUUAGAACUGGCAGACUAGAGUCUUGGAGAGGGGAGUGGAAUUCCAGGUGUAGCGGUGAAAUGCGUAGAUAUCUGGAGGAACAUCAGUGGCGAAGGCGACUCCCUGGCCAAAGACUGACGCUCAUGUGCGAAAGUGUGGGUAGCGAACAGGAUUAGAUACCCUGGUAGUCCACACCGUAAACGCUGUCUACUAGCUGUGUGUGCCUUUAAGGCGUGCGUAGCGAAGCUAACGCGCUAAGUAGACCGCCUGGGGAGUACGGCCGCAAGGUUAAAACUCAAAUGAAUUGACGGGGGCCCGCACAAGCGGUGGAGCAUGUGGUUUAAUUCGAUGCAACGCGAAGAACCUUACCUACACUUGACAUGCUGAGAAGUUACUAGAGAUAGUUUCGUGCCUUCGGGAACUCAGACACAGGUGCU
RNAcentral lists this ribosomal RNA (791 nucleotides) under Alteromonas sp. MMRF657. Its description in RNAcentral is "bacterial SSU rRNA". It matches the Rfam family "Bacterial small subunit ribosomal RNA", at positions 259 to 1042 of the family's 1533-position model. The record is from RNAcentral. Lineage: Bacteria; Pseudomonadati; Pseudomonadota; Gammaproteobacteria; Alteromonadales; Alteromonadaceae.